UGAGUCACUUUGUCUCUCUGGGCCUUUUAUUCCUUCUCUAUUUCCUAUGAGAGUGGGCUGCCAGUUGCCCACCACCUCUCUAGACUUCUAACUCCCAGGCAAGCUGAUCCGAAAUGCUGGAGAACAGAGAUGCUAAGGGUCUAUAUAAAUUUCUCCAUCCCAAGAGAAUGUUGGGACUGCCUGGCUAAUUCUAAGAAGUAAUAUUAUCCACUAAUUGAGUCUAAAUAGGAAGAAGAGACAAUAUUUUAUACUGGAGACCUUCCAAAUAGUCCUCUGGAGGCCAAAGACCAAAGCAGGGACUACCUACAGCACCCGCUCCAUGCUAGGCUCAGUGCUACAGGCCAGGAGUGCAUGAGCUCUUCCCCCUCUCUCCAAGCCUAUUGUAUUAAACCCCAUGUCUUCAAGCCAACCACACCUGUGCAUGCUCCACUGUCAACACUGAGAAGUGAGAGGAAAUGAACAUUUGUGGAGUGCCUACUGCCCAGCACUGGGAAAGGCAUUUUAUUUGUGUUACAGGAUGCUGAGCAAGACUUUUCGUAUUGUUCCAAAAACAGAAGGAAGGACCCACAGCUGAAUCACCAACUGGAAGGCAGUGCUGUUGUGAGCAGUGAUUCCUCCAGAGAGGUGUGAGUCUGUUCCCACCUGGAAGCCAAGUGAGAAAGCUCCAAGAUCUGGGAUUGCUAUAAGACACAGAGUCUGGCCCCUCAACCCCUAGGGAUGUCUUGGGUCCACCCUGGCAGGAAAUACACCUGGAGAGGAGGCACAUGGCAGAGGAGAGUCCAGAAGAGCCUACACCUCAUCUGUUUGACAAGGUGGAUGAUGAGAAUCCACCAAAGGUCAAGUAACAUCAUGGAAGGUGGCUAGACUGGACCUGUCUUUCCUGUGGACCCACCCGGGCAAAGGGAGGCGGUAGUGACAGCAGUGACAACUGAGUGGAGGUGGAAGAGGGGAGUAUCCAUCAGGGAGUUACCCAAGUCCCCUUGCCUUUACCUUUCAGCACACAAUGCCUGACUUCCAACUGCCAGCACCUGUGUCUCUUUGUCCGCAGGCUUCCUCUGGCCACUGAAGCCCACUGUACCCACAAAGAAAUGCUGGGAAAUGAGCAACCCCAAGAAGCAGCCCCUAUUCAUUGACAGGUGGGUAUUGGCAUAUAAAUACCCCAGCUCCUUCAUUUGGAUAGAAUAACUCCGAGUCUCUUCCUCUACACUGUAUUAGUUACCUUUUGCUGCGUAACAGUCUACCUCCCAAACAUAGCAACUUAAUACAACAAUAAAUAUUUAUGUCACAGUUUCUGUGGGUCAGGAAUUCAGGAGCAACUUAACUGGGUGGGUCUGGCUCCAGACCACUCAUGAGACUGUAGUCAAGACGUCAUCUGGGGCCGCAGUCAACCGAGGGCUUGACUGGGGCUGAAUGAUCCGCUUCCAAGAUGUCUCAUUCGCCAUCUAGCAAGUGCGGCUGUUGGCAGGAGGCCUAGGUCAGUCACCGCAUAGACCUCUCCAUAGGACUUCUCCAGCCUCCUCAAGCUGUGUGACUGGCUUCCCCCAGGGCUAGUAAUCCAAGAGAAAGAGAGAUCAAAGGGGGAACAGCAAAGUCUUUUACGGCCUUGGCUCAAUAGUCAGAUGCUGUGUUAAUUAUCUCUUGCUACCAAACAAAUUACCCCAAGGCUUUGCCAUUAACUCACAGUUUCUAUGGGUCAGGAAUCUGGGCACAGCUUUCCUGGGUGCCUCUGACUCAGGGUCUCUCUCAAGGCGACAGUCAAGGUGUUGGCCCAGCCUGCAGGCAUCUCAAAGCUCGACUGGAGGAGCAUCCACUGCAGGCUGGCUCACUGGGUGUUGGCACCCUCAGUUCCUCGCCCUGUGGGCCACUCCACAGGGCAGUUCACAACACGUGGUAGCUGGUUUUUCCUCAGAGCCAGUGAGAAAAAGAGCAAGAGAUCACAAGCGAGAAGAAAGACAGGGUCUUUCUGUAACCUAAUCUCAGAAAUGACGUUCAUUGCCUUAGACAUAUUCUACUGGUCAGGAAUGAGUCAUUUCUAUUGCUAACCAGUGGCCCACACUGGAGGAAGGGACUGUCCAGGGGUAGGACCACAGCAGGUAGAGAUAUCUGGGUCAUCUCAGAGGCUGCCUGCCACAGAUAGCGCGUUCUAUUGGACACACAGGCCACGCACGUUUUUCACUGCUGGGCAGAAAAUUACACAAGGGCAUGACCACCAGGAUUUGAGGAGCGCUGGGGGCCAACUUGAGCACUGGCUCCCACAAAACUGUUCCACACUGUUCCCCAGUGAGAUUAAGCAGCUGUUGAUAAUGCAUCCUUGAGUGUCUGCCUUACCUUUCCUGGUUCACCUCCCCA
This is a non-coding RNA of Microcebus murinus (gray mouse lemur), 2349 nucleotides long. NCBI's taxonomy places the organism in Eukaryota, Metazoa, Chordata, Mammalia, Primates, Cheirogaleidae. The record is from RefSeq and is a predicted model, not a curated record.